UACGUAGGGUGCAAGCGUUGUCCGGAAUUAUUGGGCGUAAAGAGCUCGUAGGCGGUCUGUUGCGUCGGCUGUGAAAACCCGGGGCUCAACCCCGGGCCUGCAGCCGAUACGGGCAGACUAGAGUUCGGCAGGGGAGACUGGAAUUCCUGGUGUAGCGGUGAAAUGCGCAGAUAUCUGGAGGAAUACCGGUGGCGAAGGCGGCAUCCUGGACCGACAUUGACGCUGAGGAGCGAAAGCUAGGGGAGCAAACGGG
Molecule: ribosomal RNA, 253 nt
Filed under: uncultured bacterium
Lineage: Bacteria
Description: partial 16S ribosomal RNA
Rfam family: Bacterial small subunit ribosomal RNA
Source: RNAcentral